CUGGUGAUUCACUUUAUUGCUGUCACGUAAAAACAAGGAUACAUAAUGGUAUAGUAUAAUGACACACAUAUACUGCCUGAUAUUCAUUGAGAUGCAGGACUUCAAUGUUCAUGUCCUCUAUCUCUUUGCAUAUGGACCAGACUGCAUGAAGUGUUUGAGAUGGGGUGGAGUUUCCAUCUCCCAUUGUCUCCUGAUCGGUCCUGCUACAUCUUUCGCCAUCCUGCUCCUGCAGAGCUCUUGCAGAGUAGGAGAGGGUCUUGGUACAAAGGUCACCUUUUCAACCUUGCUCAUAUAGUCCAGCAAACGUGCCAUGUUGUGGAAGUGUAAUGCUGUGUCAAUCACAUUGUUGACUACUACAUCUUUUACAAGCACAAACCCAUACUUAUCAAAUGUUACCCUGUAUGUGUUGCCGUUAGCGGUUACAAGUUCGAAGAGGUAUCCAAUCUCGUUGUCGUCCAUAUGACAGAUUGCUGCAGCCGGAUUGGGGUGUUCCUCUUCCAUUUUUUGUAGAUCCUGUAUCACUUCAAUGUGCUUAUGUGACACUGGGGAACUGCCCGUUAGAAGUCCCCACCAUGCAUGCUUUAGUUGCUGUUUCAUGUAACGCAUGCCUUCCACCGCAAGUGUGCCAGACGAAUUGUUCGGCCCUUCCGGUAUGUCUCCCGGUCUAGCCAUCAAGUAACCUUCUGGGACUGCUUUAAUCACAUCCUCUAUCAUCCCAGCAGGAUCACUGCUGUCCCAGUCUACGAAGUCUGUGCAUUUGUAAUAGCCUCGGGUGAUGUAUAUAUCAAAUGACACGAGGCUAUUGUCAGGGCUCUUCACCAUACCUGAACACACACCUCCGGGCAUGUCACCAAAGUAGGCAGCGAUGGCAAUAGCUCCAACAGUAACAUCGGUUCUAUUUAGGUAUGAUAUUAGCUGCUCUUCGGAGACGGAACCCCACCACUUCUCACCCAGAGAUUCUAACAGUGGAAGCCACGAUCUGUUCAAUAGAGGCCAGUUGCCAUAUUCAUUUCGGUAAGAGACACGGAUUGAAUCGAAUUGUCUUCCGUUUACAUAGGCCAUCGUCCAAACCGCUAGCUAUUUCGCUAUAUGUGUGUAAAUGGUAUCAUAGUUCUUUUGAAACCAGCAAUGGUAAGUACUAGUGAACUGGAAGCAUACCCCAACCCGAAAACAGUCAAUAACCCCAGGGAAAUUGCCUCAUGUUUCUAACUGUUGUUGCUAGGGAUGUGGCUAGUGGCUCCUCAGGAUGAUGCUGAGAUGUAGCUCUCUGAACAGCUUACACAGCCACAAUGCCUGUGCCUAACCGUAACCCAUCAUGGAAUGUCGGUUGACCGUGACACCUACUGCAACUGUCACAUUUACCAGCCACAUAUAGAACUCUAUGUCCUUAACUCAAGCCAUUGUGCAUUUCAGAAUUGUAAUCAUGUCAGAGGACAGUGGUGUAGAAACUGACAACAGCCAGCUGAGCCCGGCGUCUACCGUUAUCCUGAACCGUUCUGUAUGUACUCGGUUUGAUUGAGACUGACUAUGUUUCAUGUCCUUUCAUUCACUGUUGUACAAAGUAAAUGCCAUGUGUAUGCGAUAUACAUCCCAUGCCUUUAAUACACAUUCAGGAGAGCGAUUACAUACUAUCCUCUGACGACGAGGGACCUAGGAACCCUGUCUUGGAACAAGAGCUUCCACUGUUGCCCCCAGAGGUCCUCAACCAUGCACAGCCUGAGCAGCCUCAACCUCACCCGGCAUUACCUCCUCUUCCCCAGCUGAACAAUGCAGAGGAUGCCAUGGUAGAUAUGGUAGUGUAUACUGUGAUUACACUUUGCUUGUGUCUAAUGACAUCUUGGUAAUGCGAUUAUUCUCUUCCUCUCAAGUAUAUGGCCGAUGAUGAGGAGGGAGACGACUAGGUGCCGGGAUGUGGAGGCCUAACUAUACCAAACCCCUUUUUCCCUUUCUGUUCGCAAUAGAGGUUGUGUUCUUUGAAAAUUAAUGCUGUCACUAUGCCCUGCUUUAGGUAUGGAUGUAUUGAAAUGCACUAUGUCAAUAAAUGUGACUGGAUAUUCCUUCUCUGAACAAUAUUGUCUUUAUUCACACAUGGAUAUGGACAUUGAAUAGUACAGUACAAGGGCUUUGUAAUGGCACAUGAACCAAGCCAU
Oncorhynchus tshawytscha (Chinook salmon) is the source of this 2150-nucleotide long non-coding RNA. The record is from Ensembl. Lineage: Eukaryota; Metazoa; Chordata; Actinopteri; Salmoniformes; Salmonidae.